Molecule: ribosomal RNA, 425 nt
Filed under: uncultured bacterium
Lineage: Bacteria
Description: partial 16S ribosomal RNA
Rfam family: Bacterial small subunit ribosomal RNA
Source: RNAcentral
GUGGGGAAUAUUGCACAAUGGACGAAAGUCUGAUGCAGCAACGCCGCGUGGAGGAUGACACAUUUCGGUGCGUAAACUCCUUUUAUAUAAGAAGAUAAUGACGGUAUUAUAUGAAUAAGCACCGGCUAACUCCGUGCCAGCAGCCGCGGUAAUACGGGGGGUGCAAGCGUUACUCGGAAUCACUGGGCGUAAAGAGCAUGUAGGCGGAUUAAUAAGGUUGAAGUGAAAUCCUAUAGCUUAACUAUAGAACUGCUUUGAAAACUGUUAGUCUAGAAUGUGGGAGAGGUAGAUGGAAUUUCUGGUGUAGGGGUAAAAUCCGUAGAGAUCAGAAGGAAUACCGAUUGCGAAGGCGAUCUACUGGAACAUUAUUGACGCUGAGAUGCGAAAGCGUGGGGAGCAAACAGGAUUAGAAACCCGUGUAGUCC